GCCACUGUGGCUCAGCAGGCAGAGCGACGCCUUGGUAAGGCGUAGGUCGGGGGUUCAAAUCCCCCCAGUGGCU
This 73-nucleotide transfer RNA is filed under the name Thermoplasmata archaeon. RNAcentral's name for it is "tRNA-Thr". It matches the Rfam family "tRNA". From Rfam's summary of the family: Transfer RNA (tRNA) molecules are approximately 80 nucleotides in length. Lineage: Archaea; Methanobacteriati; Thermoplasmatota; Thermoplasmata. The record is from RNAcentral. RNAcentral also lists the same sequence under 2 other names.